Small nuclear RNA from Jaculus jaculus (lesser Egyptian jerboa), 107 nucleotides. NCBI's taxonomy places the organism in Eukaryota, Metazoa, Chordata, Mammalia, Rodentia, Dipodidae. The record is from Ensembl.
GUGCUCACUUCAGCAGCACAUACCUUCCAAGCAGAAGGAUACAGAGCAGAUGAGCUUGGCUCCUAUACUAGGAUGACCUGCAAAUUCGUGAAGCGUUCAGUAUUUUU